RNAcentral lists this long non-coding RNA (995 nucleotides) under Monodelphis domestica (gray short-tailed opossum). RNAcentral describes it as "lncRNA (ENSMODG00000050680.1)". The record is from RNAcentral. Lineage: Eukaryota; Metazoa; Chordata; Mammalia; Didelphimorphia; Didelphidae.
GGAGGAAAAGUGCUUCUUUUUUCCUGAUGCUCAAGCAAGCUGUUUUGGUCAAUGAGACAUUUUUGCAAGAGGAAAAAAAACAUAAUUCUCACCAAUCUCUGCAGAUAUGAAGUAUCACUUUUCAGGAUUGAAUAUACAAGAGAGUUUCUCACCUCAAGGAUUCAAAAUUUUAAUGGAUGAAAACUAUACAUAAAAGAGGUUCAAGAAAAGGAACAGUGAGUCAGAGCAUGUGUGUCCUUGUCAUGUUUCUGCCAUAUGGAGGUGCUCAGCCAUAUGGAGGAAGAAGAGAAGAGCCAGAAGCACUUGCUGUACAUGACAAGAGGCUAGGGACUUUUCUCCUCUUCUUUCUUGGGGAAAGGAGCUCUUCUGAGGCUUUCCAGUCCAGGGAGAACCUCUUUGUCAAUCUGCUCUUUUUGAAUUUGAUUGAAGCAAGAUUCUACACUGAUGUGAAUUUCCAUCUCCUUUUCCUCAAAUCCUUCAGGCAAAGGUAUGAGUUCAUAAUCUUCCCUGGGUCCUGAAGUUACCUUUUCGAGACUUCUUAUCAGAGGGGUGAGGAAUUUUGGCCCAGUAGGUUCUUUCUCCUUCAGCCAUAAAUCCUUCAUUUCCAUCAUCAUCAGUAUCCUCAUCACCUGUAGAGGUAGGGAUAAUGAAAAAAAGAUGUAGUGGUGGGGAACAAACUCCUUCCUUUUCUACUGGAGAAAAACAUAUCAGAUCAGGUCCUCAGUUUGGCCUGUGGGCAAAAGUCUUUCUCUGGGUGCUCCAUUUAGUAUUAGUUGAACAGCUUUGCUCCACAGAUUUGGAGGUUAUCUAGAAUAUAACUUCUUCAUUCUCCUGCCAAAGUUGAGUUUGAUAUCAGCCUGGCUCUUUUCCUGUCCAGGGCCCUGGAGGUGGUAAUAUUCCUUAAGGCUGGGCUGGAUCCCAGGGAGUAUAAUAGGCAAAAAACUGGAAGGAUAUGAUUGAAAGUGUCUCAUCUGGAAACUUAACCAGCUUCUUGU